Molecule: ribosomal RNA, 3246 nt
Filed under: Triticum aestivum (bread wheat)
Lineage: Eukaryota; Viridiplantae; Streptophyta; Magnoliopsida; Poales; Poaceae
Description: partial small subunit ribosomal RNA
Source: RNAcentral
GACCCCGACCCUGAGCGAAAGAGAGCGAGAGCGAGAGCGAGAGCGAGAUCUAGACCCGGAUCCCAAGGUGCGGCGGCGGCCAGCGAGGAGGAGCAGCGCCGAUCGAGGCCGGUGUACCUGCCCCCCAUCUUCGGGUAGAAGGAGGCGAGGAGGGCAGGAGGCCGGUGGUGCUGAACGGUGCGCGGUGCCGUCGCGCCGGUCGCCGAGGUACUGCGUCCGUCGUCAUCAGAUCACCGUUAACGACAAGUUUUCUCGUACUUUGACAAGAAUUAAAUACAGACCUAAAAAGCGGUGACAAGAGUGUCCUAACGAAGAGUAGUACAUAAGAGUCGUCCUUCGUCGGCCGCCGCCGCUCACCGCUUCACCCACCUUGUACCUUGAUACCGAGUUGGCAAAACAGGCGUAACAACGAGACGACCUUUCCCGCCCGUUGAAGAAACCACGCGACCUAAAGUAGAACCGUUGGUGCUACCAUCAGCCUCCUAAAAGUCUGAUGGACCUGGCCCUAAAGACCAUGUGGUGUUGGUAACAGAAAAAGCUUCCUACGUCCUAUAAGUCAGCUGUUUGUUCUUGUCUGCUAGUGUAAUACAAGUUCCGUUAUCCGUCAUAAGUCAAAUUUGCACAUUUAGAACCCUUAUUGUCACCAAGGAACAUAAAACGUUUACGGCACUACUACGAUCAUAGAGAUAUAGAUAACCGAAUACGAGGGUAACGAUACUACGAAAAGAGGAGAUGACGUACCUCUUACAGAAUACGUGACUGACACUAUAACCAUAGAGACGACUACCAAAUAUUGCCGACCAAAAUAUUCGACCAACCAGUACGUUCGUUUUCUCUCUCAUAUAUGAUAAAGUUAAGAGACGGGGCCGGCGAGAAGACAACUCAUUCCACAAUGAGGUAUAAAGUCAUCCUGUAACCAUGAAACUAGUAUGCCUGAUGUGCCGGUAACGAAAGACCAAAUAGAACAUAGAACAACGCUCCAAACCCAGUGGCCAAUUGACAGAUGAAUUAUUUCGCCCUCGUUUCCCUGAAGCAAGGGACGACGAUUACCGUCAUUAUACGCUUCGCUACCUACUUCUAUAUGCAUGUUAGAACAAACACGACCCACCCUAAAAACACCAUCCAAGGUAUGUUUGAGUUGAACGAAGUUAUGUCUAGUAACAUAGUAUAACAAUAGAACAGUCACCAUAACUUCACUUACCAUCACGGUUGUUUUUACACUUCGGACGUGACUUCUACCACAUGCCGGGAUCGAAACUGAGUUCCCUAUGACAUAUACCGUCGUACACCAAAUCUUAGAAAAAGUAAAGACGAGGCAUUUUGUUAACGAGAAUGGAUACCGGACUGUCUAUAAAGACCCUACUCGCGUGAACUGGAGAUGAUACUCGUAACGAUACGUUGUAAAGACGUGUUCUCGUAUAACCUGUCGUGUGUCUUCUCCUCGGAACAGUCUAAACGAUAACUCAGAAACUUUGGUCUUCGGACUGUGGUGUUCUUUACACGACGACAAGCUUAUAACUUGAGUCAAGAAGUCUUCGUUUUCCGAAGGUCAAGACUUAGGCUGUAGGAAAGGGAUUAGUGUUGGAGUUUGUUACGUCACUACUGAAAUUAGUUAUAAAACCCUACCGUUAAGGGAGUCAUACUACUAGACUCCGAUGCACGGCGUUUCCAACAACAAACGUAUCGAGGUAUAGAUGUAUAUUUGCUCAAGGGACGAGAGAACGUCGAGCAAAAUAGUGAACAACUAAGAGUUCACCAGUCACCUCCGUACUGCUCGUUAGUCGUUUAUUAGCCAUUACCAUCUGUCUUUUCCUCCUGGCGUCUGUAACUCCCUCCCUUGUCCGGUCUUCGAGACCAAACGUUUGACACCGUCGUGAAGGUUUAUAACUUCAGUCAAGGUGUGCGCCUAAGUCUCCUAUGUCCGAGAGACAGUCGUGAACCUAACUUGUAUGAUUUACCAGAAAGCGUCUUACAAGUCUUAAAAAGCCUCCUCAAGAACUCUCGUUGUCUCCAGGAGUAUGCAACGAAAGGACCAGGCUGUCAUCGCGUCGCUCUUCUCAAGUAUUGAAGUACCAACUUUAAUUAUCGGUUUGAAAGUCCCCAUUUCCCCCUUCAGCCACAUUUUGACGCAGUUCCCGAAUGCCUCCCGUUGAAAAAUUAUGAAUUGAAGCAGCUCCAGAACCUCGACCUCCCUUCGAGGUCGAUGCAACUUGUGUGUUUCGACCACAAAGUCUAGUAACGUUUACAGAGGUAACGCUACUUCUGUUCCUUGUUCUAACCCAGUCAGGGUUACCAUUAAUCGUUCAACAACUUUCUCAAAUAACCCCUCCUUAGGGUUGGUGAUUCCCGUCUCCGUCCACGACGGGAGCGGUACGACCGUAAUCUUUCGGGAGUCUGGACGAUACUGUAUGAGUGCUUUCGUCCAUUAUUCUAACAUCAACUAGAAUGGAAGUUCUAGGUCUUUCCAGUUAUACAUAUGGGUCGACGUUCCGAUAAUAUAUCGGAGACGUUUGUGUUACCUUAGUUACAGCUCAGUACUUACAAAAGAACUAAUGGACUACUGCUGCAACCGUCGCCACAACCCGACCUAUUUACUACACCUCCCGUUCCUCUACCGCCGGGAUUAACCGGAUCGAAGUCUUUGAAAAUUGCGGUACGGACGACUUCCUUAGCGUGAACAAGAACUGAGUAGUCUACCCCGCAAACACUUCUUCUACCACGUUCUCGAAAUACGGACGUCAUUUCGGUCGGGUCUUCUUAAACGUCCAUACCCUUCCCACAACCAACUCGAGUGUUGUAGACAUCACUUCAGCUCGGGUGCCAUGUCAUACGUGAAGUUCCGUUGACCCUGUUAACAACAUGAAUGAUCCAACCUUGUCACAAAUACCUACGACCAAGGUCUCCUCGUCCCGCGUUACGCACAGUCCGACCGGCUUCGUUUCCGGAACUAACUCCGACUAGUUGUACCACUGCUACUCUAGAACAGCCUCCCACAGUCCGACCGGCUUCGUUUCCGGAACUAACUCCGACUAGUUGUACCACUGCUACUAUAGAACAGCCUCCCAAUCAUAUCAUAAACAGGUGCCAACGUUCUUGAUCCGUCAGGCUGAACAAAGAAACGAUAAUAGUCUGGUCGUUACUACUCUAGAACAACCGCCCAAUCAUAUCAUAAGCAGGUGCCAACGUUUUUGAACAAAGAAACGAUAAUAGUCUGGUUGUUUUACAUGUACCACUAGUACUACUCUA